RNAcentral lists this ribosomal RNA (495 nucleotides) under uncultured bacterium. RNAcentral's name for it is "partial 16S ribosomal RNA". It matches the Rfam family "Bacterial small subunit ribosomal RNA", at positions 28 to 507 of the family's 1533-position model. The record is from RNAcentral.
GAUGAACGCUGGCGGCGUGCCUAAUACAUGCAAGUAGAACGCUGAAGGAGGAGCUUGCUCUUCUGGAUGAGUUGCGAACGGGUGAGUAACGCGUAGGUAACCUGCCUGGUAGCGGGGGAUAACUAUUGGAAACGAUAGCUAAUACCGCAUGACAACAGUUAUUGCAUGAUAACUGUUUAAAAGGGGCAACUGCUCCACUACCAGAUGGACCUGCGUUGUAUUAGCUAGUUGGUGAGGUAACGGCUCACCAAGGCGACGAUACAUAGCCGACCUGAGAGGGGGAUCGGCCACACUGGGACUGAGACACGGCCCAGACUCCUACGGAAGGCAGCAGUAGGGAAUCUUCGGCAAUGGACGGAAGUCUGACCGAGCAACGCCGCGUGAGUGAGGAAGGAUUUCGGAUCGUAAAGCUCGGUUGUAAGAGAAGAACGAGUGUGAGAGUGGAAAGUUCACACUGUGACGGUAACUUACCAGAAAGGGACGGCUAACUACGUG